CAAGCCAUUUCGCACACAAGCUCGACUUUUCCUCGUCGCUUGGUUCAUCCCGUCGCCGCCGCCUUCUUCCGCUCCAAGAAAUGCGCAGUGGCGGAAUCCAUCGGUUAUGGGAAGGGUAACUACGGCUUAACUCUAAUCUUUUGUAGAUCGAGAUCGAGAGAGAAGAGCAGGGAGAUGGUGUUGUGGGAGAUGACAUUGGCGACGGCAUACUUCUUGGGAUUGAAGCGGACCUACGCGAUCACCCUCAGGAUCCAGUGGCGUGCCUCCUCGGCCCUCGUCGCCCCGAGCUCCGUCAAUUCCUUCACAGGAGGACCAGUGGUCUUUUGAUGUGGUGGUCAAGAGUCGUUCAAGGCAUGCAACACAGGGAGGAGUACAGGGAAUUCCAGUCUCCGGUGGCUUUGAUCAAAUGAAACCAUCAUCCCAAAUUGACGUGCACAGUGGGAAGCCUCCUCGCAGCAUUGAUAUCUCCAAGCAGUGCUCAGCCGCUAGUAACUCAGAUCAGGUUAAGAGAUAUCGAUCCUUCUUCACUCCUUGGAACAUCCCCAUGAGAACUUUCCCAACUGCAGUAAGUCAUGAUGCUGCAUCCCUUUGAAACCAGCGGGCUUGAAUGGCCAGCACAGGCAUCUUUCUCGCUACAUGCCAAAUCUAUCGGCAUUAGAAGACACACAACAGUAGACUGAUGACCCUUCAAAACUUCCCUGUGAACCCAAGCUUUUCGAAGAUGUUGCUAAUUUGAGUGGAUUUGGACUGUCUAUAAUGAUGCUUUCUCUUUGU
This is a long non-coding RNA of Musa acuminata AAA Group (dessert banana), 774 nucleotides long. RefSeq lists it as uncharacterized. The record is from RefSeq and is a predicted model, not a curated record. Lineage: Eukaryota; Viridiplantae; Streptophyta; Magnoliopsida; Zingiberales; Musaceae. The transcript is spliced from 2 exons.